CACAGCGAACACGGGUGCUUUCUCCCUCUUUAGACCGUAACUAAGGAACAACAAACGCAGUAGUUUGCGAGGGAGAAGGCUGAGACCCCACAUAUGGGAACCGUUGCACCUGAUCCGGGUAAUACCGGCGCGAGGGAGGAAA
Molecule: non-coding RNA, 142 nt
Filed under: Corynebacterium striatum
Lineage: Bacteria; Bacillati; Actinomycetota; Actinomycetes; Mycobacteriales; Corynebacteriaceae
Description: TPP
Rfam family: TPP riboswitch aptamer (THI element)
About the family: Vitamin B(1) in its active form thiamin pyrophosphate (TPP) is an essential coenzyme that is synthesised by coupling of pyrimidine and thiazole moieties in bacteria.
Source: RNAcentral